CAUGGCAAGCAACGCCGAGGCGGUCGCAGGAUAGCCGCACAACAUGUGAGACCGUAAAAUUCCGACAACCGUCAUCACCGUAAGAUGACAUCCCGCGAUCUAAUUCGAGAUCGUACUUUAUGUUACUGUCGCCGGGGUUCAAAGCGAGUAGCGGUGGGUGUAGGGAAACAUGACAACAGCUCUGGGGAACGUGGGAGGCGUCCUCCUCCACCUCCCGCUCCGCCACUUCCUCUUCAAUCCUCGCCGGAGUCUCAUCCCCAAACCCCACCUCCUGGCUCGAGGCGUAGUUAUUCGAGCCGCCACCACCUCUUCCUCCUCUCCUCCUGGGACGGCCACCGGCGACUCCAAUCCGGUAACACAGGAUCUCACUGAAGAUGCAAAAGUUAGCACUGGCAUCCCCAUAUUAGCUUGCCCUAUUUGUUACAAUUCUUUGAUCAGCAAAAAUGGUCCAGGCUUAAAAUUAGCAUUCCAGUCUGCGUCCAAUCUUGAAUGCCAUACUUGCAAGAAAGAUUACCAAAACAAUGGUAUAUAUCUUGAUCUGGCAGUAGCUAGCGGAUCCAAGGAUUAUGCUGAAACUAUGCCAGCAAUGACUGAACUUUUCAGGAGCCCAUUGGUAUCAUUUCUUUACGAGAGGGGAUGGCGCCAAAAUUUUGUAUGGGGUGGUUUCCCUGGUCCAGAGAGAGAGUUUGAAAUGGCUAAAGGUUAUCUUAAACCCAGCACUGGUGGAACUAUUAUAGAUGCAAGCUGUGGGAGUGGCUUGUUCUCAAGGCUGUUUGCUAAGAGUGGGAUGUUUUCGCUUGUUAUAGCUUUAGAUUUCUCAGAGAAUAUGCUGCAGCAAUGCUAUAAUUUCAUCAACCAGGAGGGCAUGCCAAGAGAGAACUUGAUUUUGGUGAGAGCUGAUAUCUCUAGGCUCCCUUUUGUCUCAAGUUCAGUUGAUGCUGUUCAUGCUGGUGCUGCCAUACAUUGCUGGCCUUCUCCAUCUGCUGGUGUAGCAGAAAUAAGCCGAGUUCUGCGCCCUGGAGGUGUAUUUGUUGCAACAACCUUCAUCUUGGAUGUCUUGCCUCCGGUUAUUCCAAUCUUGAAAACAGUCCGCCAGUAUUAUAUCCGUGCCUCAAGCAAUUACCUCUAUCUAUCAGAAGGUGAACUUGAAGAUCUCUGCCAGACAUGUGGCUUGGUCAAUUUUACAUGUGUGAGGAAUGGACCUUUUGUGAUGAUAUCUGCAACCAAACCCAGUUAAUCAUGACAUUGUAUACAAAGCUCAUAACCCGAUUUUUAUGACCCUUGCAACUCACUUAUUUUUGAAAGGUUGAUCAUGAACAGAAUAAUCUCCUUGUCUGCUCUCGGACAUUCUCCAAGGAAAGGAAGGGGGGCUGCUGCAGAGGAUGUGAUAAGACUCUGCACUGUGAACUUGCACUCGCUAAUGCCAUUUUUACUAGGUCGAAGCUGCUUAAUUCUUAGGGUUGUAAUCCUGUAAAAAGAGGAUGGUGGGAUUCUUCUUCUGCCUUUUCUUAUGCUUAAACAGAAAAGAUAUAUAUACCUGUCUUGAGUUAACUUAAAUGCAUAUUCUGUAGAAGAAUCUUCUCCUUCCUUUUCAUAUAAUUUGCUUAAGGAAUAAAUUUGUGUG
Molecule: non-coding RNA, 1624 nt
Organism: Musa acuminata subsp. malaccensis (wild Malaysian banana)
Lineage: Eukaryota; Viridiplantae; Streptophyta; Magnoliopsida; Zingiberales; Musaceae
Source: RefSeq, a predicted model, not a curated record